Molecule: small nucleolar RNA, 175 nt
Organism: Artibeus jamaicensis (Jamaican fruit-eating bat)
Lineage: Eukaryota; Metazoa; Chordata; Mammalia; Chiroptera; Phyllostomidae
Product: small nucleolar RNA SNORA81
Exons: 1
Source: RefSeq, a predicted model, not a curated record
GACUUCUGCGUAGUCACAGUGCUAAAAGUGCAGAAACAAGGAUCGCAGCCCGGCUCUGUAGUCAAGCUAGCAGGGCACGCACGAGAAGAGAAGUGACUGCACUAGAUCGGACAGACUGGGGCGGGCCUCUUUCUUCACGUCCGGUGUCCUUUGUCUUAGGACUUAUGCAAUGCCU